RNAcentral lists this unclassified non-coding RNA (346 nucleotides) under soil metagenome. RNAcentral describes it as "partial contains 5.8S ribosomal RNA, internal transcribed spacer 2, and large subunit ribosomal RNA". The stretch from base 1 to 120 matches the Rfam family "5.8S ribosomal RNA", at positions 35 to 154 of the family's 154-position model. The record is from RNAcentral.
GAUGAAGAACGUAGCGAAAUGCGAUAACUAAUGUGAAUUGCAGAAUUCAGUGAAUCAUCGAGUCUUUGAACGCACAUUGCGCCCCCUGGUAUUCCGGGGGGCAUGCCUGUCCGAGCGUCAUUGCUGCCCUCAAGCCCGGCUUGUGUGUUGGGUCUCGUCCCCCUUCCCGGGGGGACGGGCCCGAAAGGCAGCGGCGGCACCGCGUCCGGUCCUCGAGCGUAUGGGGCUUUGUCACCCGCUCUGUAGGCCCGGCCGGCGCUUGCCGAUCAACCAAAACUUUUUUCCAGGUUGACCUCGGAUCAGGUAGGGAUACCCGCUGAACUUAAGCAUAUCAAUAAGCGGAGGA